GCUCAGGACGAACGCUGGCGGCGUGCUUAACACAUGCAAGUCGAACGGACCUUCGGGUUAGUGGCGAACGGGUGAGUAACACGUGGGUGAUCUGCCCUGCACUUUGGGAUAAGCCUGGGAAACUGGGUCUAAUACCGAAUAGGACCACGGCAUUCAUGUGCUGUGGUGGAAAGCUUUUGCGGUGUGGGAUGGGCCCGCGGCCUAUCAGCUUGUUGGUGGGGUAAUGGCCUACCAAGGCGACGACGGGUAGCCGGCCUGAGAGGGUGACCGGCCACACUGGGACUGAGAUACGGCCCAGACUCCUACGGGAGGCAGCAGUGGGGAAUAUUGCACAAUGGGCGCAAGCCUGAUGCAGCGACGCCGCGUGAGGGAUGACGGCCUUCGGGUUGUAAACCUCUUUCGCCAGGGACGAAGCGCAAGUGACGGUACCUGGAGAAGAAGGACCGGCCAACUACGUGCCAGCAGCCGCGGUAAUACGUAGGGUCCGAGCGUUGUCCGGAAUUACUGGGCGUAAAGAGCUCGUAGGUGGUUUGUCGCGUUGUUCGUGAAAACUCACAACUCAAUUGUGGGCGUGCGGGCGAUACGGGCAGACUGGAGUACUGCAGGGGAGACUGGAAUUCCUGGUGUAGCGGUGGAAUGCGCAGAUAUCAGGAGGAACACCGGUGGCGAAGGCGGGUCUCUGGGCAGUAACUGACGCUGAGGAGCGAAAGCGUGGGGAGCGAACAGGAUUAGAUACCCUGGUAGUCCACGCCGUAAACGGUGGGUACUAGGUGUGGGUUUCCUUCCUUGGGAUCCGUGCCGUAGCUAACGCAUUAAGUA
Molecule: ribosomal RNA, 819 nt
Filed under: bacterium
Lineage: Bacteria
Description: bacterial SSU rRNA
Rfam family: Bacterial small subunit ribosomal RNA
Source: RNAcentral